CCCCCCAUUUCUCCCCCUCCUCCAAGGUGCAGCCCUCCCGUGUGGUUCUCCGUCGUGUGGCUGCGAUCUCAAUUGGAGUUUGGAGGGAGGAAGAAGGAAGGAGGAAGGGAAGAACCUAAGGUGAAUUUGUGAUUAACUUUUGUUGUUUUUGUGCUGCAAUCAAUUGGAUUAUGUGUUUAUCUUUGCGAAUCGGUAGAGGUGCUGUCCAGGAAUUUUGUGAGUGGGUGAACAGCAGUAGUUCUAGGGAUUUCUGGGAAUUUUCGUGGGGUAAUUAGUGGGAAUCAGUGGGAUAAUCAUGUAGAGCUUUGUCAUACCUUUCCAACGAGUACUUAUGCGCUCGAUUCGGAGUUAUAAUUUAGGAGAUAUCGUUGUUUGAAUCCGGGUAUAUUGCUGUCCAAAAAAACAGAUUUUUCAGGUGGGUGAACAGCAGUAGUAUUAGCAGUUUCUGGGAAUUUUUCGUGGGUAAUUAGUAUUAACCAGUAUUAUAAUCAUGUAGGGCUUUGUCUUAUCUUUCCAAUGAGUACUUAUGUGCUUGAUUUGGAAUUAUAUUUUAAAAGAUAUCGCUGUUUGAAUCCGGGUAUGUUGCUGUAAAAAAAACAGAUUUUUCAGGUGGGUGAACAGCAGUAGUAUUAGCAAUUUCUGGGAAUUUUUCGUGGUUAAUUAGUGCUAACCAGUAUGAUAAUCAUGUAUGGCUUUGUCUUAUCUUUCCAAUGAGUACUUAUGCGCUUGAAUUGGAAUUAUAUUUUAAAAGUUAUCGCUGUUUGAAUCCGGGUAUGUCGCUGUCCAAAAGAGAAAAAAACAGAUUACAGGGUUCAUCUUGUGAACUGUUUUGGGCUAAUUAGAUGUUGGAGUUUAAUUAUAAAUUGUAUACAAAACUUGUGGGGAAUUUUAUGUAGAUGCCUCUGGAGUUUUUGUUUGUUACCAAUGCUGUCAUAAUUUUGAAGUUAUGAAAUUAUUAAGCAGCGCCGCUGCAGUUUGGUGGGUGUGGGGAGAGAUGUAACCCGCGGCGGGGUUUGAGUUUGUGCGUAGGUGCGGCGUCGUUUAUGAGCCUGGUUAUGUGAAAUUGGUGCACUAAGUUGUGUGUCAAAAACAGGUGGUGGACUUCCGGAUCGUACUUAGGGAUUUGCCCAAACUUCCGGUAAAGGCAAGUAAAUACAGUGGUGGUUGCUACCGUUUGGUUUGCAUCCUAUUCCCUGUCAUUGAGUAUGCAUAAGUUUUAAAUAUGUUAAUCAUUGAAUUCUAUGAUGAAGUUUAUUUGUUCGAAAGUAUUAAUUCUCAAUUGUCUAAUAUUGUGGAUGAUCAUGAUUUGGUAAUGAUAUAUGUGGUUGAUUCCUAUCAUGGAUGGAGUUGAAGUAUUUUUAUUUGAAUCACGUUAUAUGAAGUGUUGUAGGCAUGUCAUGCACAUUGCAUCAUCCAUCUUGCAUUCUGAAGUUAUGUCGUGAUCUUAUGGUCCGACUGUACCGGUACAUUUUUAGCAUCGUACGUUGUCCGAGGAGGGGUACGAUGCGGCUUCAUAUCCUUAGAGGUAUGAAGGCAGAAGUCAUCCUUGCAUUUGCAGACAUUUGCACUCAUGAGGUAUAUAUAUGAAGAGUGACAUUACUAUGUUACUAUUGUGGUUUCUACCUGCGAGGUGUGGUAGCUAGGAGUGUUGUACGUUGUAUACGUGCUGCACCUUUGUAAUAAGAAGGUUGUGAAAUCAAGUGGUGGUAAAACAAUAUUCUUAUGUGGUUAAACAGUUUGAUAUUAUUUUACUUGCUGAGAUGUGUCAUCUCACUCUUGCAUUACUCAAUGCAGGUACUUGAUAUAUGUUGGGAAUGAGGGGAGUAGCAGCACGUCCACUUUCACUCUCAUAAUAGCGCUGCCCAGGCGUAGCCAUGAUUUAAUUAGAAACUUGUUGUCAAAAGAAGUUAUUUUUUUUUGCUAGUCGUGCGCACUGGUUAAUUCAGUUCAUGUCGUAUGUUUAACUUCCCUUUGCUAGCCGAUUAAUAAUACUUGGUAUGUUUUUGUCAUGAUAUAUGUUUAUACAUUGUUGUCCCCCCCCCUCAUUUAUGCAAUUUUGCAAAGGAGAUGCUGCCAAAAUUUUAUAUAGAUGUCAGAAGUGUAGUUCAGUAGCAUUCCGGGGUGUUUGUGGAUCCCGGGGUGUUACAGUUGGUAUCAGAGGAUAGGCUUUAGAUUCUACGCAAUUUGAAGAUAAAUUUGACACACUUGCACAUAUAGGAAGGGUAUGGGUUCGUAAAUCUUUCAUAUUAGUAUUUUAUUGUAUAGAUGACUAGAACUUCCUUACUCCAAAUUCCUUUAUGGUUUGAUGGGGUACGUCAUUAAUGACGUAAUGCUUGAUAUGAUAUGUUAUUUCUAUUUAAUAUUGGUUUCUUGAUGUGGUUGUUAUUGAAGAUAUUAUGCAAGUGAAGCUACUACUGUACUUGUUUUAUAUACAUAUUGUCAUGAUGUUUUUUUUGAUGCAAUGUUUUCAAAUCUCUGAGCUAUUACUAUCAUAUAUUUCUAUAUGCUUGACUGUGGAUGUUUUUUUCCAAAAGGAUUCUUGGGUUCUAGUACUUGUAGGACCGAUUGUUUAUUGAGCUUGUCUAUAGUGGGUCUAAUCCGACUUGGUGUAGUGUGAAAACACUAUAUAAUGUAGUUUUAUGGUGUUGUUGAGUUUGAUUGACUGUUGGGUUACAACCCAACUUAUCAAUGUAAUAUUUCCAUGGGUGCAAUGCUUUGCGCCUCACUUUUUUGGCUAGUGUGGCUACUUGCUAACUUGAUCUUAGUAUAAAAUUGGUUUGUCUCUAUAGAGCAAAGGCAACAUUGUAAUGUCUAUGAAAUCUUGAGACUGGUAGAACUCAAGUGAAUUUGUAAGAUGACGUAGAUUGAUAAGUCCAACCAUGUUUACCUGAUAGGUUUUCUUAUUAUGUGCAACCUUAUUUUUUUUAACAAUAAAUAGGGUGGUUUCAAGUGGAUUUUAUGUCGUGCAUGUUUUCCUUCUAUGGUUUGUUUCAAUAGCCAUAAAGGCUAUGCAUAAUUUUUAGUUGUUGCAGGCUAGUCAUGUGGACGAUAUUGACAACCCAUUUUAUUUUUUUUUAUUUGCCAACAUUGUAUGGUAGUUUGAUUUUUUUUAUGAUCAGUUUCUCUAUGCAUGCUUGUUGAAUCAUUAUUUGGACCGCUUUAUCUUAAACGAAGUCAAUGCUUAACUGGGAGUUGCUUAUGUUUGUUAGUCAUCUAUCUCUUUAAUGAUGGGGUUGUUGCAUCGGAUUGAGAUUUUUCUUAUAUGAAUGAUGGUUUGAUAGAUCAUGUAUGUCUACUACUUUGAAUGCAUCCUGUGAUAUCACGAGGUACAAAUUGUUCAAGUGCAGUAAUAGUAGGUUUUGUUGUAUGUGAGGUUAAUCAAGGUAGUUUGGUUAUGUGGAUUGUCUUAUUGACAUCCAAUUACUCCUGAUGAGCAUAGUAUCGUGUUGCUAUUUUAGUAUUGAAAGUAAUAUUUAUGAAGCUUUUGCAUGAGUCUGUGUCAAGAAGUACAUUAGUUUUUCUUGUUGUUAUCCCUCCAUUGCUUUAUGAGUAUUGCAAAUUUUAUCUCUUUUGAGAGGAGGAAAAGACGUUACAUGACAUGAGCACCAUUUGCUUCACGUCAACAGAAUAGUUGUGGAGAGCUCUAAUAGUUGGAUUCUAGUGUAAUAACAACCAUGUCUUAUAGUGCUAGAGACGGGUAUGUCAGGUGUUUCAUACAUUGUCGAUACAUGGAUGUUUGACCUUAGUGGCAUUAACAAACGAGGUUGUUUAAUUCGUUGAUUGUUGUGCUUAGUGUUCUAACCUAUUAGGUAAAGUGUUGCUUAAAGGCUUUGGGGAGUUGCAUCCCCAUUUGGUAGUGGAAAAUCCUAGUGUUGAUCGCACCUUCCAAUGCCUUGGGUUUUAUUUUAUAUUGUUUUUUUAUUAUGAGUAAGGUGUUGUUUGGUUUUGGGAGUCAUUUUAAAUUAGUUGGAGGCUGAAUCAGGCUUCACUUAUCUAGAAUGUUUUGUAGUAGGCUUCUUCAUCUUUGCAUAGAUGCUCAAUCACCCAGUUUGGUCUAAACAUUGGAGAGUUAUGGGUUUCCUAUAGCAGCCUUAAUUUUGUACGGAAGUAGAGACAUUGAAGACGGUAAAUUUUGGUUUUUGUUGGAUUAUGAAAGUUUUAGUAAUUUCAUGAUCUUUCCAAAGAUUAUUGGUUUGUAAUUUUCAUUGCAUAUAAUUGGAGUUAGGCUACUCUGAAGUUGUUUCACCGUUGUGUCUGAACUUUAGGUGUCGUUAAAACCACCAAUAAAUCGACCGUGUUCUGAUAGUUUCAGAGCCCAAAUUUGGGAAUUCUCUUUAAGAAAAACUUUUAGUUUUUCUAAGUACCUUUUAAUGGGUAUUUACUUGUAACUGCCUAUUAAAUAGAUUGGGAGAGGUGGUUGUCCGGAUAUAAGUCGAAUCUCUGAUGUGCAGUAUCUCAGGUUGAGUUUAGCUGUAGGUCAUGCAGAGUUGAGGGUUAUAAAGAUAAAUUUGGGUGCAACUUUAUUGCAAAAGUCGUGGACAAUUUCCAAACUUUUCCAACGCAUGUUCGUUGUAGUUUUAAGUUGAGUAUAGCAGGAGUUAUAGGAUUUUGAAUUUUAGUUGUCCAAUAUUUCUAUCCUAUCAGUUUUGCAACAAAGCAGUUGCAUUGUUUUAUCGGUUUGGAAACCAAUUCUGAGACACUCAUUAUAAUAAAAGUUUUAGGGAAUGUUAUAACCUUUCCAAUGAGUUUGUAUUUGCAAAAUUUUGUUAGAUGCAGAUUGGGUGAGUUAUUGGAUGGAUAUAUAUGCAUAGUAUAAUUAAAAAAAGUGUUCUUCGAUGGAAUGAUAUAAUGUAUAGAAUAUGCUUGGAUGGAUAUAUGGGCAGGCGUAGUAUGCUUAAAUCGAUUCUUGCUUCCAUGAUGUGAGAUAAGGCUUAAAAUGAUUUAAAAUGUUAGCAUAUGGCUUCUAUCUUUAUGUUGGCUCUGAGUGUCUCGUAAUGAAGAACCUAAAGUUAUUAGUCCUUCGAUGAACGCUUAAUCUUAGAAGAGUAUAGAACCUGAAUAAAUCUAUUGCUUGCUGUUUGGGACUACAUGACCAAUUUUGGUUAUGCAGCUAGUUCAACGAAUUAAACCAUGUUUUCUGUAGAGGUGUUGUAUAUAAAAGUUGUAGCCAACUUCUUCAUCUUACUUGUGUAAAAUUUCAUGACCAUAGGUCUAGUAGUUUGGGAGUUAUGAUUUUCUCAAGUCCAGUCUUGGAAUCUGUCCAGAUUCUGUACAGAUUUUGAAACAGACCUUGUUUGCCCAAGUUAAACUUUGAAUCAGUUCUUAUAAAUUAUAAAGAAGUGGAGUACUUUCCUUAAGAUUUCCAACAAAUAUUGGAUCACCCUUUUUGGUGACCUAUAAGUUAAGCUACAGCUGUUUUAAGUGGAAUCUUUGAAUCUGUCCAAAUUUGGACAGCAAAGCCUUUCUUAUGUCUUUUGACCUUGAUAUGCAUUGAAUUAACCUGAUAUGUUUAUAAAUGAAAUAUAGACAAUUUUACUGGCUUUCAAAAAAAGUCUAGGAGCGCCUAAAUUGGAUGACUGAGACUCCAAUUAUGGAUUUUUUAAGUGAGUAGUUGAAUUCUGUCCAAGUCUGGACAAAAUUUACGUUUCGCAUUGUUUGUCCUUUCUAAGUGUCAAAUCUUGUGGUGAUGAUAAUACCAAGGGUAUAGUGGACUUUGUAAGCUUUCCAUAAAGUCCUAGUUUACUACUGUUGGAUGCAUAUUUUGUGAGUUUAUGAGCAAAACAAUUAACCGUUGUGCUGAUGUCUAGAAAUAUGCAAGCAUUAAAUUGAUCUUUUGAAGUUACUCUUGUUUGGAUAGGUUUGGUUUAGGCUAUUGGAGCACAGUAUGUAUUGCUUUCAUUAUAUAUAUUCAUUGAAGAACUUGCAUGUGUCAAUGUUGAUUUGGUGUCAGGAAAACUUUGUCCGGGUUAUAUAGGACUGUCUAUUAUCUUAGCCCGAGUUGGCAGCUUGGCUUAGCACAUGCAAUUGUCGGAGUCUAUGAUCAGAGUACGCCAUGUAUUCCAUGUCUCUAUGUUGAGAAAGUAUUUGCGGAAUCCAUAUCAAUAAUCGAGCUAGAGUCAAUUCCCAUGUAGCAAGACCUGACUCUAGAGUGUCGUCUGCUGCGUAUCCUAGAAUCCUUGAAGCUCGAGGAGCUGAUGCGGCAGAAGUACCCCGAACUUUUCGUUAUGGGGUGAGUUUUUGUUGUCGCUGAUCUUUCCUUGUCGUUCCGAUAGAAGCGUCGGAAUUCGAGGUCGAAUUCUUUUUAAGGGGGGUAGAGUGUGAUACCCGGUUUGCAAAGAAGAGAAGUUGAAGGUUAUUCUUUUUGUUUGUUUUUUCUCUUAUUCGGGUGUCGCGCUUUGGGGAUUUAGAAUUUGUGGAAAUCAUUCACCAGUAUAGCAGUAGAGUGGUUGGUCGGGAGCUGUCGUGCAAGCGAGUUGGGCCGCGAAUCGCAAUCCGGCCCACUAACCCUCCCCCUAACCCUAGCCGCCCCCCUUUUUCCCCCUUGGGUUGUUGCAGCCGCCCCUUCCCCUCCCCUUUCUCUUGGACGCCCCCCCUCUCCCAUCUUCUUCCUCCUCAAACCUUUGCAGCCCUCACCACCCAAAACCCUAGCCGCCCCCCCCCCCCCCCCAUUUCUCCCCCUCCUCCAAGGUGCAGCCCUCCCGUGUGGUUCUCCGUCGUGUGGCUGCGAUCUCAAUUGGAGUUUGGAGGGAGGAAGAAGGAAGGAGGAAGGGAAGAACCUAAGGUGAAUUUGUGAUUAACUUUUGUUGUUUUUGUGCUGCAAUCAAUUGGAUUAUGUGUUUAUCUUUGCGAAUCGGUAGAGGUGCUGUCCAGGAAUUUUGUGAGUGGGUGAACAGCAGUAGUUCUAGGGAUUUCUGGGAAUUUUCGUGGGGUAAUUAGUGGGAAUCAGUGGGAUAAUCAUGUAGAGCUUUGUCAUACCUUUCCAACGAGUACUUAUGCGCUCGAUUCGGAGUUAUAAUUUAGGAGAUAUCGUUGUUUGAAUCCGGGUAUAUUGCUGUCCAAAAAAACAGAUUUUUCAGGUGGGUGAACAGCAGUAGUAUUAGCAGUUUCUGGGAAUUUUUCGUGGGUAAUUAGUAUUAACCAGUAUUAUAAUCAUGUAGGGCUUUGUCUUAUCUUUCCAAUGAGUACUUAUGUGCUUGAUUUGGAAUUAUAUUUUAAAAGAUAUCGCUGUUUGAAUCCAGGUAUGUUGCUGUAAAAAAAACAGAUUUUUCAGGUGGGUGAACAGCAGUAGUAUUAGCAAUUUCUGGGCAUUUUUCGUGGUUAAUUAGUGCUAACCAGUAAGAUAAUCAUGUAUGGCUUUGUCUUAUCUUUCCAAUGAGUACUUAUGCGCUUGAAUUGGAAUUAUAUUUUAAAAGUUAUCGCUGUUUGAAUCCGGGUAUGUCGCUGUCCAAAAGAGAAAAAAACAGAUUACAGGGUUCAUCUUGUGAACUGUUUUGGGCUAAUUAGAUGUUGGAGUUUAAUUAUAAAUUGUAUACAAAACUUGUGGGGAAUUUUAUGUAGAUGCCUCUGGAGUUUUUGUUUGUUACCAAUGCUGUCAUAAUUUUGAAGUUAUGAAAUUAUUAAGCAGCGCCGCUGCAGUUUGGUGGGUGUGGGGAGAGAUGUAACCCGCGGCGGGGUUUGAGUUUGUGCGUAGGUGCGGCGUCGUUUAUGAGCCUGGUUAUGUGAAAUUGGUGCACUAAGUUGUGUGUCAAAAACAGGUGGUGGACUUCCGGAUCGUACUUAGGGAUUUGCCCAAACUUCCGGUAAAGGCAAGUAAAUACAGUGGUGGUUGCUACCGUUUGGUUUGCAUCCUAUUCCCUGUCAUUGAGUAUGCAUAAGUUUUAAAUAUGUUAAUCAUUGAAUUCUAUGAUGAAGUUUAUUUGUUCGAAAGUAUUAAUUCUCAAUUGUCUAAUAUUGUGGAUGAUCAUGAUUUGGUAAUGAUAUAUGUGGUUGAUUCCUAUCAUGGAUGGAGUUGAAGUAUUUUUAUUUGAAUCACGUUAUAUGAAGUGUUGUAGGCAUGUCAUGCACAUUGCAUCAUCCAUCUUGCAUUCUGAAGUUAUGUCGUGAUCUUAUGGUCCGACUGUACCGGUACAUUUUUAGCAUCGUACGUUGCCCGAGGAGGGGUACGAUGCGGCUUCAUAUCCUUAGAGGUAUGAAGGCAGAAGUCAUCCUUGCAUUUGCAGACAUUUGCACUCAUGAGGUAUAUAUAUGAAGAGUGACAUUACUAUGUUACUAUUGUGGUUUCUACCUGCGAGGUGUGGUAGCUAGGAGUGUUGUACGUUGUAUACGUGCUGCACCUUUGUAAUAAGAAGGUUGUGAAAUCAAGUGGUGGUAAAACAAUAUUCUUAUGUGGUUAAACAGUUUGAUAUUAUUUUACUUGCUGAGAUGUGUCAUCUCACUCUUGCAUUACUCAAUGCAGGUACUUGAUAUAUGUUGGGAAUGAGGGGAGUAGCAGCACGUCCACUUUCACUCUCAUAAUAGCGCUGCCCAGGCGUAGCCAUGAUUUAAUUAGAAACUUGUUGUCAAAAGAAGUUAUUUUUUUUUGCUAGUCGUGCGCACUGGUUAAUUCAGUUCAUGUCGUAUGUUUAACUUCCCUUUGCUAGCCGAUUAAUAAUACUUGGUAUGUUUUUGUCAUGAUAUAUGUUUAUACAUUGUUGUCCCCCCCCCUCAUUUAUGCAAUUUUGCAAAGGAGAUGCUGCCAAAAUUUUAUAUAGAUGUCAGAAGUGUAGUUCAG
RNAcentral lists this long non-coding RNA (8770 nucleotides) under Zea mays. Its description in RNAcentral is "long non-coding RNA (ZMAY_LNC003697)". The record is from RNAcentral. Lineage: Eukaryota; Viridiplantae; Streptophyta; Magnoliopsida; Poales; Poaceae.